This 87-nucleotide transfer RNA is filed under the name Rhodospirillaceae bacterium. Its description in RNAcentral is "tRNA-Leu". It matches the Rfam family "tRNA". From Rfam's summary of the family: Transfer RNA (tRNA) molecules are approximately 80 nucleotides in length. Their secondary structure includes four short double-helical elements and three loops (D, anti-codon, and T loops). Lineage: Bacteria; Pseudomonadati; Pseudomonadota; Alphaproteobacteria; Rhodospirillales; Rhodospirillaceae. The record is from RNAcentral.
GCCCGCUUGGUGGAAUCGGUAGACACGAGGGACUUAAAAUCCCUUUCGCGUAAGCGAGUGCGAGUUCAAGUCUCGCAGCGGGCACCA